Molecule: ribosomal RNA, 364 nt
Filed under: uncultured bacterium
Lineage: Bacteria
Description: partial 16S ribosomal RNA
Rfam family: Bacterial small subunit ribosomal RNA
Source: RNAcentral
CCUACGGGUGGCAGCAGUGAGGAAUAUUGGUCAAUGGCCGGAAGGCUGAACCAGCCAUGCCGCGUGAAGGUCAGUGCCCUAUGGGCGUUAAACUUCUUUUGUGCGGGAGCAAUAAUGGUCAUGUGUGGCAAGACGAGAGUACCGUACGAGUAAGCAUCGGCUAAUUCCGUGCCAGCAGCCGCGGUAAUACUGGGGAUGCAAGCGUUACCGGGAUUUCUUGGGUUUAAAGGGUGCGUAGGCUGUGAGGUAAGUCAGCGGUGAAAUGCCCCCGCUCAACGGGGUGAAGUGCCAUUGAUACUGCCUAGCUGGAAUGCGGAUGCCGUAAGAGGAAUGUGUGGUGUAGCGGUGAAAUGCAUAGAUAUCA